Molecule: ribosomal RNA, 535 nt
Filed under: Boekhoutia sp.
Lineage: Eukaryota; Fungi; Basidiomycota; Agaricostilbomycetes; Agaricostilbales; Chionosphaeraceae
Description: partial large subunit ribosomal RNA
Rfam family: Eukaryotic large subunit ribosomal RNA
Source: RNAcentral
GUUGUAGUCUAGAGAAGCAACGUCCGCGCCGGACCUUGGAUAAGUCGGUUGGAAAACCGCGUCAAAGAGGGUGACAAUCCCGUUUGUACCAAGGACGCCCGUGUGCAUUGUGUCGUGCUUUCCAAGAGUCGAGUUGUUUGGGAAUGCAGCUCAAAUUGGGAGGUAGAUUCCUUCUAAAGCUAAAUAUUGGCGAGAGACCGAUAGCGAACAAGUACCGUGAGGGAAAGAUGAAAAGCACUUUGGAAAGAGAAUGAAACAGUAUGUGAAAUUGCUGAAAGGGAAACGAUUGAGCAUGAUGUUCGCUGAGGGUAUUCAGGCCUCACGGCUGUACUUACCCUUCUGCGAGCCAGCAUCGGUUUGUGCUGCGGUAAAAGGGUGCGAGGAACGUGGCUGCCUCGGCAGUGUUAUAGCCCCGCACUGGAUGCCGCGACGCAGACCGAGGAACGCAGGGCGCCGCAAGGCAACACCCCCGUGGUGUCGAGCCCUUAGGAUGCUGGUGUGAGUGCUUAACCGACCCGUCUUGAAACACGGACCA